CGACAGAGGUAGGACUUGAACCUACAAGACACCAAGUGUCGAUAGCUUUCUAGACUAUUGCCUUACCAUUAGACUACUCUGCC
This 83-nucleotide transfer RNA is filed under the name Homavirus sp. Its description in RNAcentral is "tRNA-Ser". Lineage: Varidnaviria; Bamfordvirae; Nucleocytoviricota; Megaviricetes; Imitervirales; Mimiviridae. The record is from RNAcentral.